Non-coding RNA from Potamilus streckersoni, 73 nucleotides. The record is from the annotation of a GenBank genome assembly. Lineage: Eukaryota; Metazoa; Mollusca; Bivalvia; Unionida; Unionidae.
GCUCCAGUGGCCUAGUGGUUAGAGCGUCCGCUUCAAAUGCGGUAGGUCGCGGGUUAGCACCCCAGCCGAGUCA